This 450-nucleotide ribosomal RNA is filed under the name uncultured bacterium. RNAcentral describes it as "partial 16S ribosomal RNA". It matches the Rfam family "Bacterial small subunit ribosomal RNA", at positions 354 to 796 of the family's 1533-position model. The record is from RNAcentral.
GUGAGGAAUCUUCCACAAUGGGCGAAAGUCUGAUGGAGCAACGCCGCGUGAGUGAAGAAGGGUUUCGGCUCGUAAAGCUCUGUUGUCGGGGACGAAUGUGCAGUAUUUGAAUAAAGUACUGUAAUGACGGUACCUGACGAGGAAGUCACGGCUAACUACGUGCCAGCAGCCGCGGUAAUACGUAGGUGGCAAGCGUUGUCCGGAAUUAUUGGGCGUAAAGGGAGCGCAGGCGGGAAGGUAAGUCGGUCUUAAAAGUGCGGGGCUCAACCCCGUGAUGGGAUCGAAACUAUCUUUCUUGAGUGCAGGAGAGGAAAGUGGAAUUCCUAGUGUAGCGGUGAAAUGCGUAGAUAUUAGGAGGAACACCAGUGGCGAAGGCGACUUUCUGGACUGUAACUGACGCUGAGGCUCGAAAGCCAGGGGAGCGAACGGGAUUAGAUACCCCUGUAGUCC